Molecule: ribosomal RNA, 432 nt
Filed under: uncultured bacterium
Lineage: Bacteria
Description: partial 16S ribosomal RNA
Rfam family: Bacterial small subunit ribosomal RNA
Source: RNAcentral
AACGAACGCUGGCGGCAUGCCUAACACAUGCAAGUCGAACGAGACCUUCGGGUCUAGUGGCGCACGGGUGCGUAACGCGUGGGAACCUGCCCUUAGGUUCGGAAUAACUCCCCGAGAGGGGUGCUAAUACCGGAUAAUGUCUUCGGACCAAAGAUUUAUCGCCUUUGGAUGGGCCCGCGUUGGAUUAGCUAGUUGGUAGGGUAAAAGCCUACCAAGGCGACGAUCCAUAGCUGGUCUGAGAGGAUGAUCAGCCACACUGGGACUGAGACACGGCCCAGACUCCUACGGGAGGCAGCAGUGGGGAAUAUUGGACAAUGGGCGAAAGCCUGAUCCAGCAAUGCCGCGUGAGUGAUGAAGGCCUUAGGGUUGUAAAGCUCUUUUACCCGGGAUGAUAAUGACAGUACCGGGAGAAUAAGCUCCGGCUAACUCCGU